RNAcentral lists this ribosomal RNA (490 nucleotides) under uncultured bacterium. RNAcentral describes it as "partial 16S ribosomal RNA". It matches the Rfam family "Bacterial small subunit ribosomal RNA", at positions 30 to 507 of the family's 1533-position model. The record is from RNAcentral.
AUUGAACGCUGGCGGCAGGCCUAACACAUGCAAGUCGAACGGUAACAGGAAGAAGCUUGCCUCUUUGCUGCCGAGUGGUGGACGGGUGAUUAAUGUCUGGGAAACUGCCUGAUGGAGGGGGAUAACUACUGGAAACGUUAGCUAAUACCGCAUAAUGUCGCAAGACCAAAGAGGGGGACCUUCGGGCUUCUUGCCAUCGGAUGUGCCCAGAUGUGAUUAGCUAGUAGGUGGGGUAACGGCUCACCUAGGCGACGAUCCGUAGCUGGUCUGAGAGGAUGACCAGCCACACUGGAACUGAGACACGGUCCAGACUCCUACGGGAGGCAGCAGUGGGGAAUAUUGGACAAUGGGCGCAAGCCUGAUGCAGCUAUGCCGCGUGUAUGAAGAAGGCCUUCGGGUUGUAAAGUACUUUCGGCGGGGAGGAAGGGAGUAAGGUUAAUACCUUUGCUCAUUGACGUUACCCGCAGAAGAAGCACCGGCUAACUCCGUG